GAUGAACGCUGGCGGCGUGCCUAAUACAUGCAAGUCGAGCGAACGGACGAGAAGCUUGCUUCUCUGAUGUUAGCGGCGGACGGGUGAGUAACACGUGGAUAACCUACCUAUAAGACUGGGAUAACUUCGGGAAACCGGAGCUAAUACCGGAUAAUAUUUUGAACCGCAUGGUUCAAAAGUGAAAGACGGUCUUGCUGUCACUUAUAGAUGGAUCCGCGCUGCAUUAGCUAGUUGGUAAGGUAACGGCUUACCAAGGCAACGAUGCAUAGCCGACCUGAGAGGGUGAUCGGCCACACUGGAACUGAGACACGGUCCAGACUCCUACGGGAGGCAGCAGUAGGGAAUCUUCCGCAAUGGGCGAAAGCCUGACGGAGCAACGCCGCGUGAGUGAUGAAGGUCUUCGGAUCGUAAAACUCUGUUAUUAGGGAAGAACAUAUGUGUAAGUAACUGUGCACAUCUUGACNGUACCUAAUCAGAAAGCCACGGCUAACUACGUGCCAGCAGCCGCGGUAAUACGUAGGGUGCCAAGCGUUUAUCCGAAAUUAUUGGGCGUAAAACGCGCGUAGGCGGUUUUUUAGUCUGAUGUGAAAGCCCACGGCUCAACCGUGGAGGGUCAUUGGAAACUGGAAAACUUGAGUGCAGAAGAGGAAAGUGGAAUUCCAUGUGUAGCGGUGAAAUGCGCAGAGAUAUGGAGGAACACCAGUGGCGAAGGCGACUUUCUGGUCUGUAACUGACGCUGAUGUGCGAAAGCGUGGGGAUCAAACAGGAUUAGAUACCCUGGUAGUCCACGCCGUAAACGAUGAGUGCUAAGUGUUAGGGGGUUUCCGCCCCUUAGUGCUGCAGCUAACGCAUUAAGCACUCCGCCUGGGGAGUACGACCGCAAGGUUGAAACUCAAAGGAAUUGACGGGGACCCGCACAAGCGGUGGAGCAUGUGGUUUAAUUCGAAGCAACGCGAAGAACCUUACCAAAUCUUGACAUCCUUUGACAACUCUAGAGAUAGAGCCUUCCCCUUCGGGGGACAAAGUGACAGGUGGUGCAUGGUUGUCGUCAGCUCGUGUCGUGAGAUGUUGGGUUAAGUCCCGCAACGAGCGCAACCCUUAAGCUUAGUUGCCAUCAUUAAGUUGGGCACUCUAAGUUGACUGCCGGUGACAAACCGGAGGAAGGUGGGGAUGACGUCAAAUCAUCAUGCCCCUUAUGAUUUGGGCUACACACGUGCUACAAUGGACAAUACAAAGGGCAGCGAAACCGCGAGGUCAAGCAAAUCCCAUAAAGUUGUUCUCAGUUCGGAUUGUAGUCUGCAACUCGACUACAUGAAGCUGGAAUCGCUAGUAAUCGUAGAUCAGCAUGCUACGGUGAAUACGUUCCCGGGUCU
This 1373-nucleotide ribosomal RNA is filed under the name uncultured bacterium. RNAcentral describes it as "bacterial SSU rRNA". It matches the Rfam family "Bacterial small subunit ribosomal RNA", at positions 28 to 1381 of the family's 1533-position model. The record is from RNAcentral.